RNAcentral lists this long non-coding RNA (2277 nucleotides) under Sus scrofa (pig). Its description in RNAcentral is "lncRNA (ENSSSCG00040059081.1)". The record is from RNAcentral. Lineage: Eukaryota; Metazoa; Chordata; Mammalia; Artiodactyla; Suidae.
GGAUGGCUUCCCGUUUAAGACUUUGAGUUCUUCGGCUGGGAGGACGUGAGAGUCGUACCUUUCCUUUCACUUCUGCUUGCUUUUUAUGGCUGCUGCGGUGUCACAUGAAGUUCCCGGGCCAGGGACGGAGUCCCAGCCACGGCUCUGGGAGGUCCUGUUGUGGCUCAGCGGAAACGAAUCUGACCAGCCUCCGUGAGGACACGGGUUCAGUCCCUGGCCUCACUCAGUGCGUUGUGGGUUAAGGAUCUGGUGCUGCCCUGAGCUGUGGUGUAGGUCGCACGCAGAUGCGGCUUGGAUCCUGAGGUGCUGUGGCUGUGGUGUAGACCGGCAGCUGCAACUCCUAUGCAACCCCUAGCCUGGGAACCCCCACAUGCCGUGAGGGUGGCCCCGAAUAGCAAAAAAAAAAAAAAAAAAAAAAAGUACUCCUUUCACACCGUUGCCAGUGUGGAGAAGUGCGGGUCCUGACUCCGGGGAACUUGCCGAGCGCCUGCUUUAGUUUCAGUAGAGUUUUCGGGUGGCCCCUCAGAUUCCCACCAACAGCAUCCCGUUACCUGCAGGUGGCGGUAGUUCGGCUGCUGCUUUUUCCUUCUGGAUGCCUUUCCUUCCCCUUCCUCAUUUCUCUGGCCAGACCCUCUAGCCCAGUGUUGGCCAGAAGCGGGAGGACAGACCGCCUCGUCCUGCUCCCAGCCUGAGGGGUGCGCCCGGCUCUCGCUGCUGGGGGAGCUUAGCUGCGGGUCUGAGAGAUGUCCCCUCAAUACCGACGGUGUUGCCUCACUGCUCGCUGGUCGGGUGUCCCGUCACUUCCACGAAUACCAACUGAUUUUAUAAGUGGCACUUAGGUAGCUUUAAAAACCAUUAGAACACAAUUGUAUUAGACCAGCGUCCAACGACUGUGUGUACGUUUGAAAGAAUAAAUUUUAAAAAUGGGUGAAACACCUGGGAGUUCCCAUUGGGCUUAGCAGGUUAAGAACCAGACUAGUGUCCAUGAGGUUGCGUUAACCACUGCGCCACGACGGGAACUCCCCUUUAACUUCUUGAUCAGAGUAAAAGUUUGGAUCCUCAGUCAUUUUCGCAUAUUGUAUUCCAAAGGUUGUGACAUUUGUGACGAUGUUGUGGGGAAAAAAGCACUUUCUUAUUUUAAAUUUAUUUACUGGGUCACAGCCAGAAUCUUAAAAAGCGAAGUAGAACAGGCGUUCCCAUCGUGGCUCAGUGCACACGAAUCUGACUGGUAUAGAGGGGGGCGCAGGCUCAAUCCCGGGCCUCACCUGAUGGGUUGAGGAUCCGGGGUUGCCAUGAGCUGUGGUGUAGGUCACACAUUUGGCUCGGAUCAGGCGUUGCUGUGGCUGUGACAUAGGCUGGCGGCUACAACUCUGCUUCGACCGACCCCUAGUCUAGGAACUUCCAUGUGCCUCGGGUGCAGCCCUGAAAAGACAGAAGAAGAAACGAGAAAAACAGCGGAGUGAGCACCAUGUUGUGAAAUUUUAGGUCGUGGCUGGUGUGGGUGUGUAUUCAAGCUGGGUGGUCAUGCUGUAAGGUGCGUUUUUCUCUUUCAAACAGAAAAGCAAAACUGUUGUAGAUACGUCUUUUGCUCAAGGGACAGACAGGUGUGACAGGUAUGGGAGGUUAUAGGUCCUUUUCCUUGUCAGCAUUUCCUGUUGUCUUUGGCCCCUGAAAGUUCCUGUACCUGAGCCAAUGGACCUUCAAAUUAGAUUCAGGUUGAAAAAUGUGUCUUGACUGUUUCUUGUGUGUGACCAUGUGAAAUCGCCUUAUUUAAAAUGCUGACAACCGGAGGUCCUGUCACGGCUCCUCUGAAACAAAUCUAAGUGGUAUCCGUGAGGACACAGGUUCGAUCCCUGGCCUUGCUCCGUGGGUUAAGGAUCCGGUGUUGCCACCAGCUGUGGUGUGGGUCGCAGACGCGUCUUGGCUCUGAUGUUGCCGUGGCUCUGGGGUGGGCCAGCGGCUGCAGCCCCCAUUCAACCCCCAGCCUGGGAACCUCCAUUUGCCGAGGGGGUGGCCCUAAAAAAAAAAGCUAACAACUAACCCAAAACUUAAAAAGCAAAUUAUAAAAGUAAAAACAAACAGCUUAGGAACUUCUGCGAUACUGGCCAGGUUUCUCAUUUUUUACCUCAUGCGUACUUUGUGAGUCUUCCCGUGAAACAGACCUUACCCACAGCUGCAGAGGGUGAUGCAAAAAUAGUUUAUUAUGACAUCGUUUUUGUAAAGUUAGGUCGUAUUUACAAGUAGAAAUCGGCGACAUCCAUGGGACUCCAGCACGUC